AUUGAACGCUGGCGGCAGGCCUAACACAUGCAAGUCGAACGAGUGGCGGACGGGUGAGUAAUGUCGUGGAAAGUGCCUGAUGGAGGGGGCAAACUAGUGGAAAAGGUGGCUAAUACCGCAUACCAUCAGAUCGGCCGAGAUGGGAUUAGCUAGUUGGUGGGGUAACGGCUCACCAAGGCGACGAUCCCUAGCUGGUCUGAGAGGAUGACCAGCCACACUGGAACUGAGACACGGCCCAGACUCCUACGGGAGGCAGCAGUGGGGAAUAUUGGACAAUGGGCGAAAGCCUGAUGCAGCCAUGCCGCGUGUAUGAAGAAGGCCUUCGGGUUGUAAAGUACUUUUGGCAGAGAAGCGUUAUCUGCAGAAUAAGCACCGGCUAACUCCGUGCCAGCAGCCGCGGUAAUUC
RNAcentral lists this ribosomal RNA (406 nucleotides) under uncultured bacterium. Its description in RNAcentral is "partial 16S ribosomal RNA". It matches the Rfam family "Bacterial small subunit ribosomal RNA", at positions 30 to 526 of the family's 1533-position model. The record is from RNAcentral.